UACAGGGGGGGCAAGCGUUGUUCGGAAUUACUGGGCGUAAAGGGUUUGUAGGUGGCCACUUAAGUCAGACGUGAAAUCCCUCGGCUUAACCGGGGAACUGCGUCUGAUACUGGAUGGCUUGAGUUCGGGAGAGGGAUGCGGAAUUCCAGGUGUAGCGGUGAAAUGCGUAGAUAUCUGGAGGAACACCGGUGGCGAAGGCGGCAUCCUGGACCGACACUGACACUGAGGAGCGAAAGCCAGGGGAGCAAACGGG
RNAcentral lists this ribosomal RNA (253 nucleotides) under uncultured bacterium. RNAcentral's name for it is "partial 16S ribosomal RNA". It matches the Rfam family "Bacterial small subunit ribosomal RNA", at positions 524 to 776 of the family's 1533-position model. The record is from RNAcentral.